GAGAAUAGUCUACAAUGGUCGAAAGACUGAUAGUGCGACGCCGCGUGAACGAAGAAUCCCUUCGGGGUGUAAAGUUCUUUUUUAAUCGAGCAAUGCCUUUUAUGUGAUGAGCAUGAGAGGAGAGAUAUUAGGUUAAGAAUAAGCAACGGCUAACUCCGUGCCAGCAGCCGCGGUAACACGGGGGUUGCUAGCGUUGUCCGGAAUUACUAGGCGUAAAGGGCAGGUAGGCGGAUAGAUAAGUUUGAUGUUUAAGGCAGCGGCUCACCCGCUGUAAGGCAUUAGAUACUGUUUAUCUGGAAUGCGGUUGGGGAAGACAGAAUUCCUGGUGUAGCGGUGGAAUGCGCAGAGAUCAGGAGGAAUACCGAAGGCGAAGGCAGUCUUCUAAGCCGUAAUUGACGCUAAACUGCGAAGGUGUGGGUAUCAAACA
Molecule: ribosomal RNA, 427 nt
Filed under: uncultured prokaryote
Description: bacterial SSU rRNA
Rfam family: Bacterial small subunit ribosomal RNA
Source: RNAcentral